This 318-nucleotide unclassified non-coding RNA is filed under the name Hevea brasiliensis (rubber tree). Lineage: Eukaryota; Viridiplantae; Streptophyta; Magnoliopsida; Malpighiales; Euphorbiaceae. The record is from RNAcentral.
UUCAAGUAUUUAGGUUCUAUCAUACUAAAAAACAAAGCUUUAGAUGAGAAUAUAGCCCAUAGGAUCAAUACAGGAUAGAUAAAAUGGAGAAGUGCGACAGGUGUACUAUGCAAACAUAAAAUCCCUAAACAGUUAGACUAGUUAUGUUGUAUAGGAGUGAAUGCUGGGCAUCUAAGGUAUAACAUAUCCACAAGACGAUUGUGGCAACUGGAAAAAAUGUGGAUUUUAAAAUGGAUAUUUGAUAACACAAUAAUGGAUAAAAUUAAAAAUGAUCACAUAUGUUAGAGAAUGCAAGUAGCACAUAUUGGAGAUAAAAUG